GCGCCGUGGCCUACUGGUUAGCGCUUCGGACUUGUAACCGGAGGGUUGCCGGUUCGAACCCCGACCAGUAGGCA
Molecule: transfer RNA, 74 nt
Filed under: Alosa alosa (allis shad)
Lineage: Eukaryota; Metazoa; Chordata; Actinopteri; Clupeiformes; Clupeidae
Description: tRNA-OTHER
Source: RNAcentral